UACGUAGGUGGCAAGCGUUGUCCGGAAUUAUUGGGCGUAAAGCGAGCGCAGGCGGUCCUUUAAGUCUGAUGUGAAAGCCCACGGCUCAACCGUGGAGGGUCAUUGGAAACUGGGGGACUUGAGUACAGAAGAGAAGAGUGGAAUUCCACGUGUAGCGGUGAAAUGCGUAGAGAUGUGGAGGAACACCAGUGGCGAAGGCGACUCUUUGGUCUGUAACUGACGCUGAGGCGCGAAAGCGUGGGGAGCAAACAGG
This 253-nucleotide ribosomal RNA is filed under the name uncultured bacterium. RNAcentral describes it as "partial 16S ribosomal RNA". It matches the Rfam family "Bacterial small subunit ribosomal RNA", at positions 524 to 776 of the family's 1533-position model. The record is from RNAcentral.